RNAcentral lists this ribosomal RNA (253 nucleotides) under uncultured bacterium. RNAcentral describes it as "partial 16S ribosomal RNA". It matches the Rfam family "Bacterial small subunit ribosomal RNA", at positions 524 to 776 of the family's 1533-position model. The record is from RNAcentral.
UACGGGGGGGGCAAGCGUUGUUCGGAAUUACUGGGCGUAAAGGGUUCGUAGGUGGCUUGCUCAGUCAGACGUGAAAUCCCUCAGCUUAACUGGGGAACUGCGUCUGAUACUGGCGAGCUUGAGUGCAGGAGAGGAACGCGGAAUUCCAGGUGUAGCGGUGAAAUGCGUAGAUAUCUGGAGGAACACCGGUGGCGAAGGCGGUUCUCUGGGCAUGAUCUGACGCUGAGGAGCGAAAGUGUGGGGAGCGAACAGG